UGAGAAUAUCAGUGCAGCUGGAAAGU
Molecule: non-coding RNA, 26 nt
Filed under: Homo sapiens (human)
Lineage: Eukaryota; Metazoa; Chordata; Mammalia; Primates; Hominidae
Source: RNAcentral